This 922-nucleotide ribosomal RNA is filed under the name uncultured Bacteroidota bacterium. RNAcentral's name for it is "bacterial SSU rRNA". It matches the Rfam family "Bacterial small subunit ribosomal RNA", at positions 1 to 916 of the family's 1533-position model. Lineage: Bacteria; Pseudomonadati; Bacteroidota. The record is from RNAcentral.
GGAUCCAGACUUUGAUUAUGGCUCAGGAUGAACGCUAGCUACAGGCUUAACACAUGCAAGUCGAGGGGCAGCGGGAUUGAAGCUUGCUUCAAUUGCCGGCGACCGGCGCACGGGUGAGUAACGCGUAUCCAACCUUCCGUACACUCAGGGAUAGCCUUUCGAAAGAAAGAUUAAUACCUGAUGGUAUGAUGAGAUUGCAUGAUAGCAUCAUUAAAGAUUUAUCGGUGUACGAUGGGGAUGCGUUCCAUUAGGUAGUAGGCGGGGUAACGGCCCACCUAGCCAACGAUGGAUAGGGGUUCUGAGAGGAAGGUCCCCCACAUUGGAACUGAGACACGGUCCAAACUCCUACGGGAGGCAGCAGUGAGGAAUAUUGGUCAAUGGACGAGAGUCUGAACCAGCCAAGUAGCGUGAAGGAUGAAGGUCCUACGGAUUGUAAACUUCUUUUAUAAGGGAAUAAACCCUCCCACGUGUGGGAGCUUGUAUGUACCUUAUGAAUAAGCAUCGGCUAACUCCGUGCCAGCAGCCGCGGUAAUACGGAGGAUGCGAGCGUUAUCCGGAUUUAUUGGGUUUAAAGGGAGCGCAGACGGGUCGUUAAGUCAGCUGUGAAAGUUUGGGGCUCAACCUUAAAAUUGCAGUUGAUACUGGCGUCCUUGAGUGCGGUUGAGGUGUGCGGAAUUCGUGGUGUAGCGGUGAAAUGCUUAGAUAUCACGAAGAACUCCGAUUGCGGAGGCAGCACACUAAUCCGUAACUGACGUUCAUGCUCGAAAGUGUGGGUAUCAAACAGGAUUAGAUACCCUGGUAGUCCACACGGUAAACGAUGGAUACUCGCUGUUGGCGAUAUACUGUCAGCGGCUUAGCGAAAGCGUUAAGUAUCCCACCUGGGGAGUACGCCGGCAACGGUGCAACUCAAAUGAAUUGACGG